AUUCCACCACCAGCUAGCCCGGAAGCCAGAGGCCUGCUCCAUCCUGUGGGAGGAACUCAAGAGUCUGGAUGGGAACAUUCUAUCCCUACAUCUCCAAAGAGGGGACUUACCAGCACCCAUCACACCAGCCAGGACCCUCAGCUGGCAGAGAAAUCAAAGUUGCAAUAUCUGUGACUUUUCAAGUCUUCACUCUCAGUCUGAAGAACCCAGUGGUGGAAUUGGGUCCAUUCAGCUGCUGCCACAAGGAACCCUGACGGAGGCGGUAAUGGGACACAUUGUGUAUGUAUGUGAGGGGUGCCCAGAGGAAAUGGAAACUGAUAAGGGGAAGAGGCCGGUGCACAGUGGAGGAGACCAGAAUGGCUCUAUAAAGAGAGUGCCCGUAGCAGCUAGAAGAGGAUGCCAGGUCUUUUGGAACUGGAAUUAUAAAUGGUUGUGAGCUGCGACAUGAGUCCUUUGAAUGAUCAGCCAGCGCUCUUAACCACUGAACCACCUAUCCAGUCCCUGUACAAUCAAUGUUCGUUAUUCAUGGAAGUUCAUGUUCUACAGUUACCACAAACACUGAGAGAGUGGGUCGUGAACCACUGCCCCUGCACAUCCUGGGAAACACAGACCUCUGCUCCUGCAGCCCACAGAGCAAUCAGCACAAUGCCUUUCAUUGUGUUUCUACUAAAAGACAUGCCACAGCCUUCUUGUACUUAGAAACCCCAGGCCUUAUUUCAAAACAUGCUUGGGACUACGUUAAGGAAUAAAAUAGUCAAGGAAAAGCACCAAAAAUGCGAAAGAAAGCGAAACUAAGACCUACCAUGGUUUAUUUUUAGUCUUUUGCAUCCUUCUGAGAGAGGUUCUUCAAACACCUGGUGGACCUUGAUUGGCCUUUAUCAGAGGGAGGCCUUAAAAUGCUCAGUGGAAGCUUCAUGUGUAUGAGUGAUGGGCUGGGGGCUGUCUGUAGGAUGCUAGGGCCGGGUGAUGGUCAGGUAGGCUCCUGUAAAUGGCCUCUGUUAAGGUCUCUUCUGUACCGUGAGUCUAGUUAAACUGUCCCUUUCAGCUUCCUAUAUGAAGCACAAGGCUGCCCAUGGUGCUGCCAUUUCUGACGGACCUCCCAGAAGCAAGUAACUUAAUCUUUCAUUUAGAUGUUUGUGCCCCCUCCCCAAGCCCCUGGAAUGCCACCCCCUCGUUGGGGCUCUGCUGUAGUCAUAUUUCCCUCCACACGCAUUCUCUUGCUCUCUGUCCCAGGGCUCAGCUAGUCCCCCUCUGUUGUCUGCUCUUUUGUCUCUUUUUGACUUUCAGUAGACAUCCCAUAUUCUGCAACAACUGGGUUUCCUGCUUGCUCCACCAGAUCUCAGUGUUUUCCGAGGCAUGCUUUUACCUGGUCUUGGUCUGGUUAGUUCCUUUGGUGAAACCUUAGAUUUUUGAGGUGAUAGACAACAGUAAUAUUGUGUGCCUUCAUCUGUUUUCUGUUGCUAUAGCAGAACUCCUGAGACUGGGUAUUAACAAAUUAGAGGCCAUAUGGCCCACAGUUCCAGAGUCUGAGAACUCCCAGAACAUGGUGUGUGAGUCUCCUUGGCAGGUGUCAAGGGUCUUCUUCCUGUAUCAUAUCCUGGUACAUAGAGUCAGAUGAUGAGACAGAGCAGGUAUGCAUCAGCUCAGAUCUCUCUUCUUAGAAGUCCAUCAGCAACAUUGUCCCAUGUUGGUGGCCUCAUUUAAUCCUAGUUACUUCUCCAGGACUCCACUUCUAAACACCAUCAAGUCUAAAUUUGGGUACUGAUUUUCAAGAUGCAUAUUAGAGGAUUUAUUUGAAGUACGGUCCUGUGAUUCCCAAAAGUCAUGAGAGUGGUAUGGAUCUGCUGACGUUGCAAGAGUUUGAACCUAACUCGGGGGUCUACCCUUUGCUGGAGUCUGACAAAACCUAACAAAACUUUCCCUACUCUACACCAUUCAUGAUGUUUCUCAAGAAUGGUAGACACAGUUAAACCCCCGAAGCCAGGAUGCACUUAUUACCUGAAGAAACAGCAGGAAAAUGUUGAACAUAGAAGCCUUCAGGCUUUCUCCGUGGUUGUCUUGCUGGGGAACUGUUCAGUUAUAAGCAGAAGUUCCAGAUGGAUUUAAGGUUUCCCAGAGCCAUUAUACUUGAGUAUCUAUCACCAACAGGUCACCAGCAGUCACCAAGUUCCCAUGAAUACAUAUUAGCUAGAGCUGAGAUAACAAUUCUACUUCCCCUCCAGUGUGUCUCUACGUGAUGACUGGUGGCUGUUUCAAGUGCUUGUUAAGGGUUGGGAGGUCUUAACCAGAUCCAGCCAUAUGAAAGGGUCCUGUGAUCAAUUAGUGAUGCCUGCUAUAGGCAGUUAUUCGCUAGCCCAGAACCAGGGAAAGAUGAAAGAGACAUGUUCUAAGACAGUGUUUCCCAAACUUGGUUGAUGCUAAGAAUUACCUGGAGGGUCUUGUUAAAAAUAGAUUCCAGGCUCUUUAUCAGGAGCUAUGAAUCCAAGUGCUUCAGAGUGAGGUAUGGGGAUCUGAACUUAGUGUGCUCAUGCAUCUAUCUAUGUAUCUAUGUAUCUAUGUAUCAUCUAUGUAUGUAUAUAUGUAUGUAUGUAUGUAUGUAUGUAUGUAUGUAUGUAUGUAUGUAUGUAUCAUCUAUCUAUCUAUCUAUCUAUCUAUCUAUCUAUCUAUCUAUCUAUCUAUCUAUCUAUCUAUCUAUCUAUCUAUGUAUCUACCUAUGUAUGUAUGUAUGUAUGUAUGUAUGUAUGUAUGUAUGUAUCUCUCUAUCUCUCUAUCUAUCUCACUUUCUGCAAAUCUGGAUGUAGAACUCUCAGAUACCUUCCCAGCACCCUGUCUACCUUCAUGCUGCCAUGCUUCCUGGAAUGAUGACAAUGGACUAACCCUCUGAAUGUAAGCAAGCCCCAAUUAAGUGGCUUCUUUUCUAAGCAUUGCCAUGGUCAUGGUGUCUCUUCACAACAAUUGAACAUUGAUUAAGACAGAAGCCAAAUGUUAGCUGUGAGCUGCCCAGUAGAAAGGUCUGUACAGCAAGAAACAGAUAUCUUUAAUCCAACAACCUGAAGGAAUAUGAUCUUGCCAACAGCCCCAUAAGUGAAUAUGGAAGUGACUGAUCUGGAAGGUGACUAAGCCCCAGUCGAUGCAUGAGAAAUCUUGAGCCAUGACCUAGCUCAUUUAUUACAAUCAAUAAGCCAGUGUUUUACAGCAUUAACUAAAGUGCAUAGUUCACAGAAGGGUCACUUUUUGUGUUGCGCUUUCUAUGGGUCUUGGCAUGUAUCUCUUAUUACAGUUAUUACAUGCAAGAGUUCCAUGGCUUUAAAACCCUCUGUACUUUCCAUGUUCAUUCCAAACCCGCUAGCAACCACAGAUCCUAUUGCUAUCAUAGUUCUUUCUGGUCUGGAAUAACACGUAGUUGGGAUUAAACAAUACGAAGACUC
This 3428-nucleotide long non-coding RNA is filed under the name Mus caroli (Ryukyu mouse). RNAcentral's name for it is "lncRNA (MGP_CAROLIEiJ_G0005921.1)". Lineage: Eukaryota; Metazoa; Chordata; Mammalia; Rodentia; Muridae. The record is from RNAcentral.